Cyprinodon tularosa is the source of this 595-nucleotide long non-coding RNA. RefSeq lists it as uncharacterized. NCBI's taxonomy places the organism in Eukaryota, Metazoa, Chordata, Actinopteri, Cyprinodontiformes, Cyprinodontidae. The transcript has 2 exons. The record is from RefSeq and is a predicted model, not a curated record.
UAUUGAUGGUUUGUGUACUGGAUUAAACGGGACUUGGCCAACUUAGGUUGGGAUGAAGGAUUGUUGAUUAGACACUGGAUUUGGAAAUUGGAAGAUUCAAGAUGGCGAGCCACCCUAUGGACACAGUGUGAACUGUGCAUGAGCCAGGAUUGCACCCCCUGCUGGAUGUUUCAUGGUUUACAUCUGAACUGGUAGGAUCUUUUCACCUUCCACCAAACUAGUGGAUCCAGGUGGAUAACAUUGGACUGAUAAUUCAGAGAAAGAAAAACAAGCAGAAUCGGAAGGAAGAUACUUUAUUCUGUGGAAUACAGACUUGUUCAGUCUUUUGCUGAAUAUUUUGAGUUUUGUAACAGUUUGACUGUAUUUUAUUUUCUUUAUUCAUUGUUUGGUUCCAAAUGCUAAAACAACAUUUUGUCUAAAUUCAAUGAUACCUAUACUAAACUAAAAGAGUUGAGAUAAAUAGAACUAAACUCAUUAAUAAAAGAGUUAAAUAGAGAAAUACCUUGAACUACCUUGAACUGAAGAUUAAAAUAGCUAAAGGUUGCAACCUAUAUUGAUAGGACCCAAAAGGAAUUAAAUAUCCUAAAAUUAAACU